RNAcentral lists this unclassified non-coding RNA (348 nucleotides) under soil metagenome. RNAcentral's name for it is "partial contains 5.8S ribosomal RNA, internal transcribed spacer 2, and large subunit ribosomal RNA". The stretch from base 1 to 120 matches the Rfam family "5.8S ribosomal RNA", at positions 35 to 154 of the family's 154-position model. The record is from RNAcentral.
GAUGAAGAACGUAGCGAAAUGCGAUACGUAAUGUGAAUUGCAGAAUUCAGUGAAUCAUCGAAUCUUUGAACGCACAUUGCGCCCGCUGGUAUUCCGGCGGGCAUGCCUGUUCGAGCGUCAUUUCAACCCUCAAGCCCCCGGGUUUGGUGUUGGGGAUCGGCUCUGCCCUUCUGGGCGGUGCCGCCCCCGAAAUACAUUGGCGGUCUCGCUGCAGCCUCCAUUGCGUAGUAGCUAACACCUCGCAACUGGAACGCGGCGCGGCCAUGCCGUAAAACCCCAACUUCUGAAUGUUGACCUCGGAUCAGGUAGGAAUACCCGCUGAACUUAAGCAUAUCAAUAAGCGGAGGA